Molecule: transfer RNA, 149 nt
Filed under: uncultured archaeon
Lineage: Archaea
Description: tRNA-Arg
Source: RNAcentral
GGGGUCGUAGCCUAGCCUGGUAGGGCGACUGUGACGUAUAGUCACCGCUAAGGGCUCCAGAAGUAAAGACCCAAACUGAUUUCACAAGAUGAUGUGAGUUUGGAGCUGCAGUGACCCGUAGGUCGCCGGUUCAACUCCGGUCGGCCCCA